RNAcentral lists this transfer RNA (91 nucleotides) under Pelotomaculum terephthalicicum JT. RNAcentral's name for it is "tRNA-Ser". It matches the Rfam family "tRNA". Rfam says of the family: Transfer RNA (tRNA) molecules are approximately 80 nucleotides in length. RNAcentral also lists the same sequence under 2 other names. Lineage: Bacteria; Bacillati; Bacillota; Clostridia; Eubacteriales; Desulfotomaculaceae. The record is from RNAcentral.
GGAGGAGUAGCGAAGAGGCUGUAACGCGCCGCACUCGAAAUGCGGUUGUCAUGGAAGUGGCACGUGGGUUCGAAUCCCACCUCCUCCGCCA